CAGCAGCCGCCGGUAAUACGGAGGGUGCAAGCGUUAAUCGGAAUUACUGGGCGUAAAGCGCACGCAGGCGGUCUGACAAGUCAGAUGUGAAAUCCCCGGGCUUAACCUGGGAACUGCAUUUGAAACUGUCAGGCUGGAGUCUUGUAGAGGGGGGUAGAAUUCCAGGUGUAGCGGUGAAAUGCGUAGAGAUCUGGAGGAAUACCGGUGGCGAAGGCGGCCCCCUGGACAAAGACUGACGCUCAGGUGCGAAAGCGUGGGGAGCAAACAGGAUUAGAUACCCCGGUAGUCCCUGUCUCUUAUU
RNAcentral lists this ribosomal RNA (301 nucleotides) under uncultured bacterium. RNAcentral describes it as "partial 16S ribosomal RNA". It matches the Rfam family "Bacterial small subunit ribosomal RNA", at positions 509 to 808 of the family's 1533-position model. The record is from RNAcentral.